CCCUGCCAUUUGUACACACCGCCCGUCGCUACUACCGAUUGAAUGGCUUAGUGAGGCGUUCGGAGAGUCUAUAAAGAGGUGUCACCACCACUUUACUGGUUCAAAGUUCUACAAACUUGGUCAUUUAG
Molecule: ribosomal RNA, 128 nt
Filed under: uncultured eukaryote
Lineage: Eukaryota
Description: partial small subunit ribosomal RNA
Rfam family: Eukaryotic small subunit ribosomal RNA
Source: RNAcentral